CAUUGUUUUCACAAGAAGUGGCUCCAUGGCUAUACUCUUAAGUCAUUAUAGGCCCUGCUGUACUAUCUUUGCCUUCACUGAUGACGAAAGAAUUAAACAACGGCUGAUGCUUUACCAUGGGGUCAUGCCUAUCUACAUGCAGUUUUCAAAUGAUGCAGAAGAGACGUUCUCCAGAGCCCUCGAUUUGUUGCUGGAUAAGGGUCAUGUGG
This 209-nucleotide unclassified non-coding RNA is filed under the name Hevea brasiliensis (rubber tree). The record is from RNAcentral. Lineage: Eukaryota; Viridiplantae; Streptophyta; Magnoliopsida; Malpighiales; Euphorbiaceae.